RNAcentral lists this ribosomal RNA (454 nucleotides) under uncultured bacterium. RNAcentral describes it as "bacterial SSU rRNA". It matches the Rfam family "Bacterial small subunit ribosomal RNA", at positions 340 to 786 of the family's 1533-position model. The record is from RNAcentral.
UACGAAGGCAGCAGUGGGGAAUAUUGCACAAUGGGCGAAAGCCUGAUGCAGCUAUGCCGCGUGUAUGAAGAAGGCCUUAGGGUUGUAAAGUACUUUCAUCGGGGAGGAAAAAACAAAACUAAUAAUUUUAUUUCUUGACGUUACCCGAAAAAGAAGCACCGGCUAACUCCGUGCCAGCAGCCGCGGUAAUACGGAGGGUGCUAGCGUUAAUCAGAAUUACUGGGCGUAAAGAGCACGUAGGUGGUUUUUUAAGUCAGAUGUGAAAUCCCUGGGCUUAACCUAGGAACUGCAUUUUGAAACUGAAAUACUAGAGUAUCGUAGAGGGAGGUAGAAUUCUAGGUGUAGCGGUGAAAUGCGUAGAUAUCUGGAGGAAUACCUGUGGCGAAAGCGGCCUCCUAAACGAAUACUGACACUGAGGUGCGAAAGCGUGGGGAGCAAACAGGGAUUAGAUACC